Zea mays is the source of this 1163-nucleotide long non-coding RNA. RefSeq lists it as uncharacterized. The record is from RefSeq and is a predicted model, not a curated record. Lineage: Eukaryota; Viridiplantae; Streptophyta; Magnoliopsida; Poales; Poaceae. The transcript is spliced from 2 exons.
AAACGGGCGGCCCGCACUGUUUGGACAUCUAUACAGUUGUGUGCUCUGCCAACAGGUUACUGAAAGAAACACAGUGAUGGGAUGCACCUGCUCUUCUACCGUCUCUUUGCCAUUACUAUUACUACUUUGCAAAUUAAACUGCGACGCAAACGUGUGAUGUCGUUCGUCCAUGUCAGCAUAAAAAACCCGUGCACACGAUUUCUAAUCAAGGGACGCAGUUCCUUCUCAGCCUACCUACGCUUACAACCUUCCAGAAGAUAGGAUUUAGGAUUUUUGGGAUGUAUAUACUACUUUACAAACUGCGACGCAAACAUGUGAUGUCGUUCGUCCACAUCGGCAUAAAAAAACCCGUGCACACAAUUUCUCAUCAACGGACGCAGUUCCUUCUCAACCUACCUACGCCUACAACCUUCCAGAAGAUAGGAUUUUUGGGAUGUACGAAUACCACACCUCUGUCUCCCAAAAGGGCCUCCUCUCAAACGACGACGACGCCAGAGACCAGCGGUCGUGCGUCCUCACUCCUUGUGCGCUAUGGUCGCCUCCACAGGUUCUACAGGGAGUCAGCCCGUGUCGGAACUCGGAAGCUGGUUCGUCCAACACCUUAUGGUCUUUUCUUCUUCUUCAGUAGAGUAGACCGACAUCUAGGGUUUUCCAAUCUCUCGAAUAUUUGCUACCGUGAAUGUCGCCUUCGCGCUCGCUCUUCUCCCUGACCCCGACGAGAGGAAGUCAGUCCAUGUCGGAUCUGAAUGAUGGAGCUGCGACAAGGCGAAGGGCGGAGAGCUUACAUGGCUCCCUCGAGUCAAGAGGAGAUAGGAUUUUUGGUUUGUCAACCAUACCAUCGUUGUUCAAUGCUCUGAUUAAAAUGUGCCUAGCGAUUGAAACCUUCGAUACAUUGGAGCUCGGAGCUGCUGCUCUCAUGCAAAGGCUCCUGAGCGCGAGCGAUCAACAAGCCGACGUGCUGUCGCUGCUCGCUGGGGGGAAAGAAGAUCACACAGGUGUAAAAUAAGAGCUUGCUUCUGCUUACACAACAAAGCUUCAUGCUUCCCAAAUGUGCUACAACCCCUAAAGUACCAGGUAUCACUACUCGGAUAGUAAAAAUGUACAAAGCUUCAUGCUUCGCAAAUGUGCAACUCAUUGAAAAAACAGGAGCAUUCGGCCACUAA